Molecule: long non-coding RNA, 632 nt
Filed under: Sus scrofa (pig)
Lineage: Eukaryota; Metazoa; Chordata; Mammalia; Artiodactyla; Suidae
Description: lncRNA (ENSSSCG00025013939.1)
Source: RNAcentral
GCAAAAGUUUUAAGAGAACAUGCUUCCAUAGAUAGGGAAGCUGCUCAACUGGUCUGUUACUGUCGGCGUCUGAAUGUUGCUAAAUCCCUGAGUUUCUCUCCCUUUGAAGAGUGAUGGAAGAAGAAAAAGCAUGGCCUCUGGAUUAGACCAAAUUGACUUUGAACACUGACUUUGCCAUGUACCGGCUGUGUGACCUUGGGAAGCUCUCCCAAACUUUGUGAGCCUCAGGUUCUUCAUCUGCAAAGUGGGUGCAAUCCCGCCCAGCUGGAAGUGUGGAGGUGAGGAGAGAGCAAGUUUCUACAGGGCCACUCAAGUCAGAGGAAUUUCCUUCCUCUUGGAUCUGCACUCACCUACAUGCUAAAGAGAAGUAUCCUGUGAGCAAAAGGAAGAUGGAGAUACUCUGGGGCUUGAGCAGAGACGAGCUCUCAGGAGAUAAACCCUCUGAAGCUCCAUGGAUUCGGUCACAUCACAUAGCUGCUAAGUGAACCUAGAUCUUUCUGGAAUGGCAGGGUGCCGAGAAGAAUCUCUUCCUGAGUGAAGGCAUUUUAACUAUUUGAAGACAUUUUGAAGAUAAUUUGUUUGAACCUAUCCAUCACUUCUGCAACAAAGCCCCCUCCCCAACUUCCUCUGCC